AGGCGCUGCGAGAAUUCGGGUGCCCCCCCUGGGAAGAGCCCCCCAAGGUGGAUGAGCCGCUCAGCCCGCCGGUGACCGUGGAUGACCCCGGCGAUCCCGAGCUGGCCCAGGCCGUGGCCGCCGCCCGCGGGGCCGCCCCGGGGUGGGGGCGGCUGCCGGGGGCGUCGCGGGCCCGGGUGCUGCGGGGGGCGGCGGCGGCGCUG
Pyrgilauda ruficollis (rufous-necked snowfinch) is the source of this 203-nucleotide long non-coding RNA. RefSeq lists it as uncharacterized. The transcript is spliced from 3 exons. The record is from RefSeq and is a predicted model, not a curated record. Lineage: Eukaryota; Metazoa; Chordata; Aves; Passeriformes; Passeridae.